RNAcentral lists this ribosomal RNA (116 nucleotides) under Petromyzon marinus (sea lamprey). Lineage: Eukaryota; Metazoa; Chordata; Hyperoartia; Petromyzontiformes; Petromyzontidae. The record is from RNAcentral.
AUCUACGACCAUAUCACCCUAAAUGGACUGCCAUUGUCACAUCUCCUAAGCUAGGCAUGUGAUCCUGGUUAGUGCAUGGGUGGCAUAAUGCCUGUGAAUACCAGGUGUUGUAGGUU